This 343-nucleotide RNase P RNA is filed under the name unidentified bacterium SM-A06. Its description in RNAcentral is "partial RNAase P". It matches the Rfam family "Bacterial RNase P class A", at positions 43 to 351 of the family's 367-position model. Rfam says of the family: Ribonuclease P (RNase P) is a ubiquitous endoribonuclease, found in archaea, bacteria and eukarya as well as chloroplasts and mitochondria. Its best characterised activity is the generation of mature 5'-ends of tRNAs by cleaving the 5'-leader elements of precursor-tRNAs. Cellular RNase Ps are ribonucleoproteins. The record is from RNAcentral.
GAGGAAAGUCCGGGCUCCUCAGGACAGGAUGGUCGAUAACGUCGACCGGCCGCGAGGUCAGGGAAAGUGCAACAGAAAGCAGACCGCCGAACGGUCCUUCGGGACGCGUGGCAAGGGUGAAACGGUGCGGCAAGAGCGCACCAGCGGUCGAGGUGACUCGAUCGGCUUUGUAAACCCCAUCCGGAGCUAGACCAAACAGGUUGCAGUCGUCGAGUUCGCUCGACGCGCGAAGUCGUCCGCUUCGUUAUCGACAUCCGGGUAGGUCGCGAUUGAGGCGACGAGCAAUCGUCGUGCACAGAUAGAUGGUCGUCGACGCCCCAGCGGCGUUACAGAACCCGGCUUA